GAUGAACGCUGGCGGCGUGCCUAACACAUGCAAGUCGAGCGAUUCUYUUYGGAGAAGAGCGGCGGACGGGUGAGUAACGCGUGGGUAACCUACCCUGUACACACGGAUAACAUACCGAAAGGUAUGCUAAUACGGGAUGAUAUAUAGAAAUCGCAUGAUUUUUAUAUCAAAGAUUUAUCGGUACAGGAUGGACCCGCGUMUGAUUAGCUUGUUGGCGGGGUAMCGGCCCACCAAGGCGACGAUCAGUAGCCGACCUGAGAGGGUAAUCGGCCACAUUGGAACUGAGAUACGGUCCAAACUCCUACGGGAGGCAGCAGUGGGGAAUAUUGCACAAUGGGCGCAAGCCKGAUGCAGCAACGCCGCGUGAGCGAUGAAGGUCUUCGGGUMGUAAAKCUYUGUCCUCAAGGAAGAUAA
This 414-nucleotide ribosomal RNA is filed under the name uncultured bacterium. RNAcentral describes it as "bacterial SSU rRNA". It matches the Rfam family "Bacterial small subunit ribosomal RNA", at positions 28 to 451 of the family's 1533-position model. The record is from RNAcentral.